AUGGAAAAUUAUAGGACUUGAGUGAAACUGUAGGAUUGCUGGGAUUCCCACAGGCACCCAGCCCUGGCUUGGGGAAUGUUUGAGUGUGGGAACUGCCCCAGCAUCUCCUCACAGGAGAACCAGGGGAUUCGCCCUUUGUGAGAACAGAAGUACCUCUCACCUGCCAUCUGGGGCAGAGCUCCUGUGCCCUGGCAUCCUGCGCCUGAGGCAGAGCACCUGCGGGAUCCUUGGAAAACACAAAGCUAUGUGGCUGAAGCUCCUGCUUUGGGGCUCGGGGUUCAGGUGGGAUACACUAGACUACUCUCCCCAUUCGAUUCUUGCAUUUGGCAGAUGGGUCACCCGGGCAGCGGGAUGAGGAGGGCACCAACAAAAUCAACAGCAGGAAGGCGGCUCUCACCGGGCCCCAGAGAGGGAGGCAGCGGUGAGGAAACAACUUCAGAGAAGUAAAGCAGCUUGCCAAAGGCCACACAGCUAUUCAACACCUCUUGCUUCACAUAUAGCUGAUGCUGAGUCCUUCAGAGGAAUUGAGACUUCAUCUCAAAAAAAAAAAAAAUUGAGAGCCUGCUGGGGAGGCAGGGAGCAGCUAUUUCUGCUCAAGGCAAUCACUGAGGCUGGGCCUGCACGGAAUUCGUGAGGAAGCACCCUAGAGAAGGCUGGUGGCUUGGGAGACACUGGAUUUUCUGGCUCAGCUGGGCACAGUGCAAGGUGCUGUACAUAAAUGUCUUCACCGAUUCCUGGAAGGAUGCCCAGGUCGGGACACUCACUGUGAGUUGCAAAAAAGGAAAGGGGAGCCCUGAGAAGGAAGGCAGGAACAAGGGCUCCUGGCCAGAGGUGUGGAGCUGCAUGGAAAUCUUCUCGAGUGGGAUGCCCAGGCUUCCCUACCAGAUACCAGAAGCUCCAGCUGAGUGGCUCUGCAGAAGGCUAGGUAUCACUGGGUGAGUGGGCUUGCAUCCUACACACUCUUCAUC
Long non-coding RNA from Callithrix jacchus (white-tufted-ear marmoset), 968 nucleotides. RefSeq annotates it as long intergenic non-protein coding RNA 2902. The record is from RefSeq and is a predicted model, not a curated record. Lineage: Eukaryota; Metazoa; Chordata; Mammalia; Primates; Cebidae.